CACUCUCCCCUCUCCAGCUGCAACCCGGGGGCCCUAGGCCUGGCUGGGAGAUGACGAAGAGGCCCUCGGUUUCCAGAAUCUCAGCACAUGGCUCUCGUGGCAAAGCACAGCGGGCACAGGUAAGUCCGAGGCCGGGGAGAGCCCAGUCUGAGGGGUAAAGGGUUCCUGGUGAUGAGCUGUCAGCUACAAAGCGCUUUGUCCAAGCCGGCCCGGGUUCGUAGAGGAGCCAUUCCAAACGGGCCGUAGUGCAGCUGAGGCGAGUCUGGCCUACCCCCGGCGCUGAUACCGUAGGAUUUCCUCCGCCCGGACCUUGGGGCUGCCCAUAAGAAUUCGGGACAGCCUCCUGCAUUUCUGCAAUGCCGGGUGUGACGCUGCUGUUACUCCUCGGCCAGUCAGGCCUCGUGUGCGUAGCUCUGAGCUCGAGGGCGGGAAUAAUCUCCAAAGAGCAGCAACCCGCUGAGCCGGUUCGGUCCAGCUCAGGGAUGGCGGUUCACAUAUUGGAAUCGCGUUGAGUCAGAGUCCUGCCUGGCGUCUCUUCUGUGCACAGCCUAUAACCCAGGCCUCUGCCCACCACAGCGAGGUCUGUGCCAGCCACCGAAAACCAGGAAAUAAGCACAGCAGCUAAUCAAGUGAUUCACAGCGAAAAGUUUAAAGAGCAGAGUGGGAGUCUCCAACUGCUUUAAGAUGCCUGGCUGGGCAGCUGUGCCCCAGACACCAGAAGAAAAGCCGCUUUUCCUGGAUAUCGCAGGUGCUCGCUCCGGAAGUCGCUGAACCUGCGUGCCCAGGUCCGUUCGGCCACGGCAUGGACCCGGCCGAAGAGCUUCGGAAGCAGCAGGGGGAUUUCCUAGAUGAGACGGGGCAGGAGCCAGGCCCCGAUGACGACGUGGAAGCCCCAGCACAGCCUGAGGCCGGCCGGGAGGG
This is a non-coding RNA of Pelodiscus sinensis (Chinese soft-shelled turtle), 921 nucleotides long. The record is from RefSeq and is a predicted model, not a curated record. Lineage: Eukaryota; Metazoa; Chordata; Testudines; Trionychidae.